GGGAUCAUUACCGAGUUUACAACUCCCAAACCCCUGUGAACAUACCUAUACGUUGCCUCGGCGGAUCAGCCCGCGCCCUGUAAAACGGGACGGCCCGCCCGAGGACCCUAAACUCUGUUUUUAGUGGAACUUCUGAGUAAAACAAACAAAUAAAUCAAAACUUUCAACAACGGAUCUCUUGGUUCUGGCAUCGAUGAAGAACGCAGCAAAAUGCGAUAAGUAAUGUGAAUUGCAGAAUUCAGUGAAUCAUCGAAUCUUUGAACGCACAUUGCGCCCGCCAGUAUUCUGGCGGGCAUGCCUGUUCGAGCGUCAUUUCAACCCUCAAGCUCAGCUUGGUGUUGGGACUCGCGGUAACCCGCGUUCCCCAAAUCGAUUGGCGGUCACGUCGAGCUUCCAUAGCGUAGUAAUCAUACACCUCGUUACUGGUAAUCGUCGCGGCCACGCCGUAAAACCCCAACUUCUGAAUGUUGACCUCGGAUCAGGUAGGAAUACCCGCUGAACUUAA
RNAcentral lists this ribosomal RNA (505 nucleotides) under Fusarium chlamydosporum. Its description in RNAcentral is "eukaryotic LSU rRNA". The stretch from base 159 to 312 matches the Rfam family "5.8S ribosomal RNA". The record is from RNAcentral. Lineage: Eukaryota; Fungi; Ascomycota; Sordariomycetes; Hypocreales; Nectriaceae.